UGAUGGACUCGGCUGUGUUCACAACUCUCUGUAGUUUCUUACAGUCUAGGGAAGAGCAGUUGCCAUACCACGCUGCGAUGCAUACUUUCUAUGGAGCAUCUAUAAAAAUUGAUCCUUCAACGCAGUGACAGCCAAGAUGAAGACCACAGGGGCCAGAGCCAGCUCGGGCUGGAAGGCACCGACGAUGGGCACGAAGUUCAGGAGGGCGAUGAAAACGAAGUAUUCUUCCUUCAAGGGUAUUGUGCUCACAGCUUUUCCCUCUCUGCACAGUUUGGAAGGGUUGCUGACUGGGCAGGAAUUAAAAAUAACUCUUAACCUGGACCCAAUCUGAGGAACAUCGAGGUGAAUUGAAGAUUCCUCACAGAAUUACUGAAUUCAGUGCAAAAUGAGGCCAUUCACUCCAUCGUAUCUGCUCUGGCUCCCUCAGCAUUUUGACAUAGAACCAACCUCCUGCCUUGUCCCUGUAAUCCUGUACAGUGAUUCUUUAGAUAGAAACAUCAAUUGCCUUAUUCAAUGCUUCAACUGACCCUCCCUCCACCACACCUCCAGGCAGUGCACUCUAUUCCCUAAUUAGUUGCUAUAUGAUUAAAAAGCUUUUCCUCACCGUCGCAGUUGCAUCAGUUUCAAAACAUUCUAAAUCAAUGCGCCUGGUUUCAAUCCUUUUAAGAGCUGGUUUCUCCCAACUAUUCUAUCCUCUCAUGACUUCAAAGAAUGUUGUCAAAUAGUGUAGCUCAGUGGUUAGUACUGCUGCUUCACAGUAGCAGGGACAUAGAUUUGAUUCCACACUCAGGUGACCGUAUGGAGUUUGCACAUUCUCCCCGUAUCU
This is a long non-coding RNA of Rhincodon typus (whale shark), 826 nucleotides long. RefSeq lists it as uncharacterized. The record is from RefSeq and is a predicted model, not a curated record. The transcript is spliced from 3 exons. NCBI's taxonomy places the organism in Eukaryota, Metazoa, Chordata, Chondrichthyes, Orectolobiformes, Rhincodontidae.